Molecule: long non-coding RNA, 408 nt
Filed under: Pongo abelii (Sumatran orangutan)
Lineage: Eukaryota; Metazoa; Chordata; Mammalia; Primates; Hominidae
Description: lincRNA
Source: RNAcentral
UCAAGGGUUGGAUCAAUUAUUUGCCUCUAUUUUCCAAUACCUAGCAGAACAGAAGCAUAUCCCAACUUGUCGAGUCAAGGGAAUCAUCCUCUGGAGUGCUUUUGGUGAAUUACACAAUAUCCACCAGCCUUUAUGAGAAGUCAUUUUGUUGGCAGAGGGCUGCUCUGACAUCCUGUGCAUGUGAGAGGCAAGAAGACCACCUGAAAGAGAAGAAAUAUAGAUGCCCCAGAGAGACUGUCUUUUCUACAGGAUUUGGAAAAUGAAUCACAAAUCCAAAUAUCCCCACAGAGGCAGAAUGCUAAAAACCUUCAUCUCAGAUUGACACAGUUUAGAGAUUUGAAAGCCCACUUCUCCUUUUACCAUGUCAAAUUAUAACAGGAAAAAUAAAAUGCUGAUAUGAGUCUCUAA